RNAcentral lists this ribosomal RNA (552 nucleotides) under uncultured bacterium. Its description in RNAcentral is "bacterial SSU rRNA". It matches the Rfam family "Bacterial small subunit ribosomal RNA", at positions 355 to 896 of the family's 1533-position model. The record is from RNAcentral.
UGAGGAAUUCUUGCGCAAUGGGCGAAAGCCUGACGCAGCGACGCCGCGUGGAGGAUGAAGGUCUUCGGAUUGUAAACUCCUGUCGAGUGGGACGAAUGCCGUGAGGGUGAAUACCCCUUGCGGUUGACGGUACCGCUGGAGGAAGCCCCGGCUAACUCCGUGCCAGCAGCCGCGGUAAUACGGAGGGGGCUAGCGUUGUUCGGAAUCAUUGGGCGUAAAGGGCGCGUAGGCGGCCGAUCAAGUCGGAGGUGAAAUCCCUCGGCUCAACUGAGGAAUUGCCUUCGAUACUGUUCGGCUUGAGUCCUGGAGAGGGUAGCGGAAUUCCCGGUGUAGCGGUGAAAUGCGUAGAGACCGGGAAGAACACCAGUGGCGAAGGCGGCUACCUGGACAGGUACUGACGCUGAAGCGCGAAAGCUAGGGGAGCAAACAGGAUUAGAUACCCUGGUAGUCCUAGCUGUAAACGAUGGGCACUUGGUGUUGCGGGUAUCGACCCCUGCAGUGCCGAAGCUAACGCAUUAAGUGCCCCGCCUGGGGAGUACGGUCGCAAGGCUG